RNAcentral lists this ribosomal RNA (253 nucleotides) under uncultured bacterium. Its description in RNAcentral is "partial 16S ribosomal RNA". It matches the Rfam family "Bacterial small subunit ribosomal RNA", at positions 524 to 776 of the family's 1533-position model. The record is from RNAcentral.
UACGGGGGGGGCAAGCGUUGUUCGGAAUUACUGGGCGUAAAGGGCUCGUAGGCGGCCAACUAAGUCAGACGUGAAAUCCCUCAGCUUAACUGGGGAACUGCGUCUGAUACUGGAUGGCUUGGAUUUGGGAGAGGGAUGCGGAAUUCCAGGUGUAGCGGUGAAAUGCGUAGAUAUCUGGAGGAACACCGGUGGCGAAGGCGGCAUCCUGGACCAAUAUUGACGCUGAGGAGCGAAAGCUAGGGGAGCAAACGGG